GAAAUGCGAUAAGUAAUGUGAAUUGCAGAAUUCAGUGAAUCAUCGAAUCUUUGAACGCACAUUGCGCCCGCCAGUAUUCUGGCGGGCAUGCCUUUUCGAGCGUCAUUUCAACCAUCAAGCCCCCGGCUUGUGUUGGGGACCUGCGGCUGCCCGCAGGCCCUGAAAAACAGUGGCGGGCUCGCUGUCACACCGAGCGUAGUAGCAUACAUUCUCGCUCAGGGCGUGCUGCGGGUUCCGGCCGUUAAACGACCUUCAUAACCCAAGGUUGACCUCGGAUCAGGUAGGAAGACCCGCUGAACUUAAGC
RNAcentral lists this unclassified non-coding RNA (305 nucleotides) under plant metagenome. RNAcentral's name for it is "partial contains 5.8S ribosomal RNA, internal transcribed spacer 2, and large subunit ribosomal RNA". The stretch from base 1 to 105 matches the Rfam family "5.8S ribosomal RNA", at positions 50 to 154 of the family's 154-position model. The record is from RNAcentral.